GUAGGUGAACCUGCGGAAGGAUCAUUAUCGAGUUAGGGUACCCUCCGAGGGCCCGACCUCCAUCCCGGUGUCUAAACUUACCACUGUUGCUUCGGCGGGCCCGCCUGUAAAAGGGCCGCCGGGGGUCUCCGUACCCCUGGCCCGCGUCCGUCGAUAGCCCACAACAAACCCUUGAUUAACCGUGUCCUGUCUGAAUACAAAUAAAAUAAAGCACAAAACUUUCAACAACGGAUCUCUUGGUUCUG
Molecule: unclassified non-coding RNA, 245 nt
Filed under: rhizosphere metagenome
Description: partial ribosomal RNA internal transcribed spacer region
Source: RNAcentral